AAUGACUCAGUUUUUCCUAAUUUUUGAAAAUGUUCCUGUUUCCGAAAAGUAGGUGCUUUGAGUUCCACUGCCUAGCUGGUUCAAAUGGGCCUGAGGAUUGGACAGCUCAAUUCCUUGUACAGGAGUAAAUGCCAAACUUGAGGUCAGCCCAGAUGUAGCACCACUGCUUCCAUAGCGUUUUUCCUUGAACUUCUUAACAACUUUUGCAGCAAGCUUGCUCUGAGCAGCCGACACACGCAACUUGCCACUCCCAGCCUGACCAAGCAUUCCAUACCCUUCCCCCAAUCCAUCUCCUAAAGAACUCUCUUCAGGCACCCCAAACUGCAUCCUGUUAGCUAGCUUCCUCAUCUCCGUCGUUGCAUAUCUUUCCUUCAUCUUCCUUAAUCGGCGGCCGCCUCUCUUUUUUUUGGGCUCAG
RNAcentral lists this unclassified non-coding RNA (416 nucleotides) under Hevea brasiliensis (rubber tree). The record is from RNAcentral. Lineage: Eukaryota; Viridiplantae; Streptophyta; Magnoliopsida; Malpighiales; Euphorbiaceae.